GACAGAAGACUAAAUCUUCAGAUAAAUCAUUCAGACCUUGAAAUAACGAUAAAUAAUGUAAACAACAGAAGUUUUGACAGCGUGGCCUCUUGUGUGAGUGACAGUGGCACAGCUUCCAGUGGACCGACAAGACUCCGUUUGAGUUUGAGCGAUGGGCUUUUCUGCAGCCGGACAAGGAACCUGGUGAGGAGUGUGUGGAGAUGAACUACGAGACCUGGGGUUACUGGAACAACGCUGUCUGCUCAGGGAGGAAGUACUACGUGUGCGCCCGGAGAAUGUGAUCAUCAUCUUCUUCAUCAUCAUCAUCUUCAGCUGUCACAUUUAAAGUCAGAGUGGUCCUGAAACCUGCACCUGAGCCGAUGACCCUGAGCUGCAGGUGGACCAGACAAGUCACUGCAAUAAACCAUCAGCUGAUA
Molecule: long non-coding RNA, 416 nt
Organism: Seriola aureovittata
Lineage: Eukaryota; Metazoa; Chordata; Actinopteri; Carangiformes; Carangidae
Exons: 3
Source: RefSeq, a predicted model, not a curated record